RNAcentral lists this non-coding RNA (30 nucleotides) under Homo sapiens (human). The record is from RNAcentral. Lineage: Eukaryota; Metazoa; Chordata; Mammalia; Primates; Hominidae.
UCCGCUAAAAUGUGAAGUUGAGUCCUGACC